UGCGGCCAUAUCUACCAGAAAGCACCGUUUCCCGUCCGAUCAACUGUAGUUAAGCUGGUAAGAGCCUGACCGAGUAGUGUAGUGGGUGACC
Molecule: ribosomal RNA, 91 nt
Filed under: Clostridioides difficile F253
Lineage: Bacteria; Bacillati; Bacillota; Clostridia; Peptostreptococcales; Peptostreptococcaceae
Source: RNAcentral